CACACACCAGCAGCAGCAGAAACAGUAGCUUGGGCCUGGCUUGGUCCCUGUAUGUGACAAGAAGCCACUUUUAGGAUGUCUCGCUUUCCCAGGUGUGGCCACAGCUGUCCAGAGGGCCAGAUGUUCCCACAUGGAAGCAAGAGUCCAGGUUCUACUUCAUCUAGAGAUUGGCCACCUGUGUGACUUGUAGAGGCCUCAGAUCACAAUGGAAACGUCGAGGGCUCUGUAAGCUCGGACCCUGAAGUCUACACUUCAGCAGGGACAUGGCUUUGAAGACACUUUCAAAUAUCAGCCAUAGUUACUCUUCCAGAAUACAGUAGUCUCCUUUGCUGACUUUUGUUUUUGGUUUAUAAAGUACCGGAAUGCCCCUCCCCCCAUGGUUACUGAGCCUCAGCAGGAAGGGGCUCUGCUGCCCUCUGCUGCCCACUUCAGACACUGCCCCCAGAGCUGACAGCGUGGGUCUGCUUGCUAUCCACGGGAAGGCCCUAACAUUUCACAGGGCAGAGGGUGAACAGGGGUGGAGGAGCACUUGAUGUCCUUCGGAUCUGAAAGAGCACAGAGAGGAGAUGGUGGCUGAGCGCGGCCGCCCACAGCAAAUGAACCCACCGGGGGCCCUCAGAAGCCCUUAGGGUGCUGCUGGCAACGGAACCACUCUUCACCUGGGCUCAGGGUCUCUGCUCACAAGAUCAGAAAUAAAAGAGGGGACUACGCAAA
Molecule: long non-coding RNA, 714 nt
Organism: Mesocricetus auratus (golden hamster)
Lineage: Eukaryota; Metazoa; Chordata; Mammalia; Rodentia; Cricetidae
Exons: 2
Source: RefSeq, a predicted model, not a curated record